AGCGAACGCUGGCGGCAGGCUUAACACAUGCAAGUCGAGCGGGCAUCCUUGUGAUGUCAGCGGCAGACGGGUGAGUAACGCGUGGGAACGUGCCCUUCGGUUCGGAAUAACUCAGGGAAACUUGAGCUAAUACCGGAUACGUGCGAGAGCAGAAAGGUUUAUCUGCCGAAGGAUCGGCCCGCGUCUGAUUAGCUAGUUGGUGAGGUUAUGGCUCACCAAGGCGACGAUCAGUAGCUGGUCUGAGAGGAUGAUCAGCCACACUGGGACUGAGACACGGCCCAGACUCCUACGGGAGGCAGCAGUGGGGAAUAUUGGACAAUGGGGGCAACCCUGAUCCAGCCAUGCCGCGUGAGUGAUGACGGCCUUAGGGUUGUAAAGCUCUUUUCUCCGGGACGAUAAUGACGGUACCGGAGGAAUAAGCCCCGGCUAACUUCGUG
RNAcentral lists this ribosomal RNA (437 nucleotides) under uncultured bacterium. RNAcentral describes it as "partial 16S ribosomal RNA". It matches the Rfam family "Bacterial small subunit ribosomal RNA", at positions 29 to 507 of the family's 1533-position model. The record is from RNAcentral.